AAAAUUUAAGUUAGGACAAGUCUUGGUUGCCUUGGGGCUCAAAAUUUUGAGGCCCACGGGGGAUGAUGAUGAUGAAAAAAAAAAAAAAAAAGAAAAAAAAAACAAAGGAGUCGUCCUAACAGUUUCAGACGACUCAAUCUGCUUCGACACUCCGCAGGACGCAGCCUCCGCUAUCGCCUCAGGUGACAAGGACACUCUUCUUAGGAUCUCGUGAGGUUAUUUGCCUUGAACUUGAAUCAAAUCAUUGCAUAUUGAGGGCCUCACAUUUGAAAGUUUGCCUAGGGCCUCUCAAAAUAUUUGGAAUCUCAGGCCAGCCCUGAACAAAUCAUUUGUAGUGUGUGUGAUAUGCAGCAUAAAACAACCACAAGCAUCAAAAUGUGAGGCAACAGCAAGCUAAAAACAUAAUUUAAGCAUCUAUUAGGAGCCAUUUAUACAAUAGAAUAGUAGAAGACAAACUAACUAUCAGUCGUCUCUAACUUCACCACCAUAUAAGUUCAUGAAUCAGGACAUCAAACCGGCCCAUUCAAUAAAUAUAAUUAUUAACCAAAGUAAAAAUAUAUCUAACAAAAAGCUUGCACCAAAUAUACUAACGAAUUGAAAAUGUGACAGAUGACUUGUUCGCAUGCACAUGACAUGGGCAACCUAGCAAGAGAAAUCACAACAGAUCACAGUUUGUUCAGUAAAAGUUCAAACCAUAUGUGAUAAUCAACUCGAUCUAAUGCCACGCCAUAAUUCCACUGAAAAUUCAGCCCUUAAAGUUUGUGAAUAUUUGAACCAGUUUACAUUACAUCCAACAAAUCAACUACUUCUACACUAUUUUCAACAUUAGUGGCUUCUAAGAUCAUGGCUGGUUGGCUAAAUCAAAAUUUUCAUCAA
Molecule: long non-coding RNA, 876 nt
Organism: Cornus florida
Lineage: Eukaryota; Viridiplantae; Streptophyta; Magnoliopsida; Cornales; Cornaceae
Exons: 3
Source: RefSeq, a predicted model, not a curated record